CUAUAGUUCAGCGGUAGAGCGCCAGAUUGUGGAUCUGGUUGUCGUGGGUUCGAUCCCCACUA
RNAcentral lists this transfer RNA (62 nucleotides) under uncultured Treponema sp. It matches the Rfam family "tRNA", at positions 6 to 65 of the family's 71-position model. Rfam says of the family: Transfer RNA (tRNA) molecules are approximately 80 nucleotides in length. Their secondary structure includes four short double-helical elements and three loops (D, anti-codon, and T loops). Lineage: Bacteria; Pseudomonadati; Spirochaetota; Spirochaetia; Treponematales; Treponemataceae. The record is from RNAcentral.